GGGUGUGUAGCUCAGUGGUAGAGCGGCUAACUGCAGAUCAGCUGGUCCUCGGUUCGUAUCCGGGCGCGCCCU
This 72-nucleotide transfer RNA is filed under the name Perkinsus olseni. Its description in RNAcentral is "tRNA-Cys". It matches the Rfam family "tRNA". From Rfam's summary of the family: Transfer RNA (tRNA) molecules are approximately 80 nucleotides in length. Their secondary structure includes four short double-helical elements and three loops (D, anti-codon, and T loops). The record is from RNAcentral. Lineage: Eukaryota; Perkinsozoa; Perkinsida; Perkinsidae.